This 727-nucleotide long non-coding RNA is filed under the name Eucalyptus grandis. Its description in RNAcentral is "long non-coding RNA (EGRA_LNC003317)". The record is from RNAcentral. Lineage: Eukaryota; Viridiplantae; Streptophyta; Magnoliopsida; Myrtales; Myrtaceae.
GGGAAGCUGGUUUGCCUUUUCUAGUUUCUUCUCGGUGGUCCUUUUCCCUCAGAAACGAAGUUGCAGAAUCUGUAUAGGUCUUGCUAUCUAUUUUUUGAUGAUUCAAGAUCUGGGGUCGUCCUUACUUAGGAUUUCCCUGUUUUCCUUCUUUUCUCGAUAAUUCAAGAUCUUGGGUCGUCUUUAUUUAGGCCGCUUACGGCGGCGGUGGGGAGCCGGUCACCCCAUCUCCCCCGCAUUCGAGUAGGGUCGGGGCAUUGUCACUGAGAAGAUUUGAACUCAGCACCGCCUGCCAUAGCUCGGACAGGAUUUUGCGUCCCUUUUCCGAGGCCACCGAAGGGAGUGUUAUAUUUUUUUCUCCCCCGGUUGAGGGUUAGCAAAGUUUAAGGAUGAUGGGCAGUGGCUACCAUUGUUUUUUUUUGGUCUUUGCCUUAACUUUUAAUUUUGGCAAGCAGGUUUAGCUGCAAGAUUAAGGGUUAAUCCAACCUAGAUCGAGACUUUUAGCAGCAUUUAAUAAACCAGCAAAAGUCCUAAGCAGCCGAUUCUUAGUUGGGGUUUCAUUGCUGCGGCAGCUGUAGUUUAAGCGGCUACUAAACGGCGCCGUUUUAAGUGGGCUUCGAAUCUCGAGGCUGUCCUGUCGAAAGACGGGUGGGGCCCGCUUCCGGGUUUGUUGUCAUGUGAGCUAAAACGCCGUGCCGUUUUGUGUCUGCGGACGAGCGACCGUUUCUCG